Molecule: ribosomal RNA, 1541 nt
Filed under: Vibrio alginolyticus
Lineage: Bacteria; Pseudomonadati; Pseudomonadota; Gammaproteobacteria; Vibrionales; Vibrionaceae
Description: bacterial SSU rRNA
Rfam family: Bacterial small subunit ribosomal RNA
Source: RNAcentral
AGAGUUUGAUCAUGGCUCAGAUUGAACGCUGGCGGCAGGCUUAACACAUGCAAGUCGAGCGGAAACGAGUUAUCUGAACCUUCGGGGAGCGAUAACGGCGUCGAGCGGCGGACGGGUGAGUAAUGCCUAGGAAAUUGCCCUGAUGUGGGGGAUAACCAUUGGAAACGAUGGCUAAUACCGCAUGAUGCCUACGGGCCAAAGAGGGGGACCUUCGGGCCUCUCGCGUCAGGAUAUGCCUAGGUGGGAUUAGCUAGUUGGUGAGGUAAGGGCUCACCAAGGCGACGAUCCCUAGCUGGUCUGAGAGGAUGAUCAGCCACACUGGAACUGAGACACGGUCCAGACUCCUACGGGAGGCAGCAGUGGGGAAUAUUGCACAAUGGGCGCAAGCCUGAUGCAGCCAUGCCGCGUGUGUGAAGAAGGCCUUCGGGUUGUAAAGCACUUUCAGUCGUGAGGAAGGUAGUGUAGUUAAUAGCUGCAUUAUUUGACGUUAGCGACAGAAGAAGCACCGGCUAACUCCGUGCCAGCAGCCGCGGUAAUACGGAGGGUGCGAGCGUUAAUCGGAAUUACUGGGCGUAAAGCGCAUGCAGGUGGUUUGUUAAGUCAGAUGUGAAAGCCCGGGGCUCAACCUCGGAAUAGCAUUUGAAACUGGCAGACUAGAGUACUGUAGAGGGGGGUAGAAUUUCAGGUGUAGCGGUGAAAUGCGUAGAGAUCUGAAGGAAUACCGGUGGCGAAGGCGGCCCCCUGGACAGAUACUGACACUCAGAUGCGAAAGCGUGGGGAGCAAACAGGAUUAGAUACCCUGGUAGUCCACGCCGUAAACGAUGUCUACUUGGAGGUUGUGGCCUUGAGCCGUGGCUUUCGGAGCUAACGCGUUAAGUAGACCGCCUGGGGAGUACGGUCGCAAGAUUAAAACUCAAAUGAAUUGACGGGGGCCCGCACAAGCGGUGGAGCAUGUGGUUUAAUUCGAUGCAACGCGAAGAACCUUACCUACUCUUGACAUCCAGAGAACUUUCCAGAGAUGGAUUGGUGCCUUCGGGAACUCUGAGACAGGUGCUGCAUGGCUGUCGUCAGCUCGUGUUGUGAAAUGUUGGGUUAAGUCCCGCAACGAGCGCAACCCUUAUCCUUGUUUGCCAGCGAGUAAUGUCGGGAACUCCAGGGAGACUGCCGGUGAUAAACCGGAGGAAGGUGGGGACGACGUCAAGUCAUCAUGGCCCUUACGAGUAGGGCUACACACGUGCUACAAUGGCGCAUACAGAGGGCGGCCAACUUGCGAAAGUGAGCGAAUCCCAAAAAGUGCGUCGUAGUCCGGAUUGGAGUCUGCAACUCGACUCCAUGAAGUCGGAAUCGCUAGUAAUCGUGGAUCAGAAUGCCACGGUGAAUACGUUCCCGGGCCUUGUACACACCGCCCGUCACACCAUGGGAGUGGGCUGCAAAAGAAGUAGGUAGUUUAACCUUCGGGGGGACGCUUACCACUUUGUGGUUCAUGACUGGGGUGAAGUCGUAACAAGGUAGCGCUAGGGGAACCUGGCGCUGGAUCACCU